AAAGAAACCCUGUCUUGGAAAACC
Molecule: non-coding RNA, 24 nt
Filed under: Cricetulus griseus (Chinese hamster)
Lineage: Eukaryota; Metazoa; Chordata; Mammalia; Rodentia; Cricetidae
Source: RNAcentral